UACAGAGGGGGCAAGCGUUGUUCGGAAUUACUGGGCGUAAAGGGCGCGUAGGCGGCCUGUUAAGUCGAACGUGAAAUCCCCGGGCUCAACCCGGGAACUGCGUCCGAUACUGGCAGGCUUGAAUUCGGGAGAGGGAUGCGGAAUUCCAGGUGUAGCGGUGAAAUGCGUAGAUAUCAGGAGGAACACCGGUGGCGAAGGCGGUUCUCUGGGCAUGUCCUGACGCUGAGGAGCGAAAGUGUGGGGAGCGAACAGG
Molecule: ribosomal RNA, 253 nt
Filed under: uncultured bacterium
Lineage: Bacteria
Description: partial 16S ribosomal RNA
Rfam family: Bacterial small subunit ribosomal RNA
Source: RNAcentral